CCUACGGGGGGCUGCAGUGGGGAAUAUUGGACAAUGGGCGAAAGCCUGAUCCAGCGACGCCGCGUGAGUGAUGAAGGCCUUCGGGUUGUAAAGCUCUUUUAGCAGGGAAGAUAAUGACGGUACCUGCAGAAAAAGCUCCGGCUAACUUCGUGCCAGCAGCCGCGGUAAUACGAAGGGAGCUAGCGUUACUCGGAAUUAUUGGGCGUAAAGCGUGCGUAGGCGGUCUAGUAAGUCAGUUGUGAAAGCCUGGGGCUCAACCUCAGAAUUGCAAUUGA
Molecule: ribosomal RNA, 275 nt
Filed under: uncultured bacterium
Lineage: Bacteria
Description: partial 16S ribosomal RNA
Rfam family: Bacterial small subunit ribosomal RNA
Source: RNAcentral